GACGAACGCUGGCGGCGUGCCUAAUACAUGCAAGUAGGACGCAGUUGCGAACGGGUGAGUAACGCGUAGGUCACUGCCUAUUAGAGGGGGAUAACUAUUGGAAAUGAUAGCUAAUACCGCAUACUGAUAGAUGGACCUGCGUUGUAUUAGCUAGUCGGAUGGGUACUGGCCUACCUAGGCGACGAAACAUAGCCGACCUGAGGUGGUGGUCGGGCAAACUGGGACUGGUACAACGCCCAGACUCCUUCGGGAGGCAACAGGAGGGGAUCUUCGGCAAUGGGGGGAACGCUGACCGAGCCAAGCCGCGUGAGUGAAGAAGGGUUUCGGAGCGUAAAGCUCUGUUCUUAAGGAAGCGGUACUUAACCAGAAAGGGACGGCUAACUACGUGCCAGCAGCCGCGGUAAUAC
RNAcentral lists this ribosomal RNA (407 nucleotides) under uncultured bacterium. RNAcentral describes it as "partial 16S ribosomal RNA". It matches the Rfam family "Bacterial small subunit ribosomal RNA", at positions 28 to 526 of the family's 1533-position model. The record is from RNAcentral.